AGAUGCGUGCAAACACUUUGAGCACUGAAGGUCCGCAGGCCUCCGCAAUCACUGAGCAUUUGAGACUCCUCUGGGGCCAUGCAUCCACCAGCUCUCAGCGCAGGUGAUGGCAGCCCUGGACCUCAGCAAACAACCUUGGUCUAUGUGGCAUUGGCCUGGAAAUGAGUGUCUGCAGCCUGGAAAUUUAGAUCUUAAGUGUGCUCUUGUUGCAGUGUCUGACAUGCCCCCAAACGACUGUCCCUAGAGAAACAUCUGGGACUGUGAGUAACACACAUGGAGAGGAAGAGAGGGAGGAAGCCAUGGAUUUUUCCAAAAGGUGAAGGAGGAGAAACAAGCGAGUGAGAUCCGGGGAUCAGCUUCAUGAAGAUGGGUGGCACUGUCUGAAGAGCUUUCAAAGAUCUUCCCUGAAUGUGGGCAGCUGCGGACUUCAUGUUUCUUCUCCACGCAUCAGAGCAGCGGUCCUCAGCCGAGCAUGCUCCAGGCCAGCAACUGCACUGUCCCUGGGAAACUGUUAGAAGUGCAGACCCCCAGGCCCCACCCAGACACUCCAUGGU
This is a long non-coding RNA of Homo sapiens (human), 554 nucleotides long. Lineage: Eukaryota; Metazoa; Chordata; Mammalia; Primates; Hominidae. The record is from Ensembl.